UACGGAGGGUGCGAGCGUUAAUCGGAAUUACUGGGCGUAAAGCGCACGCAGGCGGUUUGUUAAGCAAGAUGUGAAAGCCCCGGGCUCAACCUGGGAACUGCAUUUUGAACUGGCAGACUAGAGUCUUGGAGAGGGGGGUGGAAUUCCAGGUGUAGCGGUGAAUGCGUAGAGAUCUGGAGGAACAUCAGUGGCGAAGGCGGCCCCCUGGCCAAAAGCACUGACGCUCAUGUGCGAAAAGUGUUGGGUAGCGAAACAGGAUUAGAUACCCCGGGUAGUCC
RNAcentral lists this ribosomal RNA (278 nucleotides) under uncultured bacterium. Its description in RNAcentral is "partial 16S ribosomal RNA". It matches the Rfam family "Bacterial small subunit ribosomal RNA", at positions 524 to 796 of the family's 1533-position model. The record is from RNAcentral.